UGGAACUGGUGUCUUUAUAAGAAGAGGAAGAGAGACCUGAGCUAGAAUGCUCAGCCUUUGUGCCAUGUGAUCAUGUGAUGCCCUGUGCAGCCUUGCGGCUCUGCAGAGGCCCCAUCAGCAAGAAGCCUCUCACCAGAUGACUCUCCUCAACCAGCUUCUAGAACUGACUGCUUGGGAGUCCGUGGACACCUGGUUAAGGAUUCCUAUGGACAGAUCAAUUAACCCAAGGGCUCCAGGAGAUGCAGAUCAAAGACCGCCACACAAGAAAGAGGCCACACAGAUAAAGAGCCCAGGACCUGCUGUCAGACCUCCCCAGAUUCAGAUUCUUAGGCCUGCCCCUUAUAGGCUGUGUGACCUCGGACAAGUUCCUUAUUUACUCUGAGCCUGAGUGUCCUCGCUCGUAAAAUGGGUCUAACAACGACCACCUCCAAGAAAGAUCACGAUGCUGAAAUGACUCAGAACAGUGCCUGGAGUGGAAGAGCUGCUGGGAAAAUAAUAACUGCUAUUUCUACAUCAGUUAUGCCAGUUCUUUUUGACCUAAGAAACUCCAGCGCUUUUAAUACAAUCAAACUGGGUUAUUGGUGACUUACAGAGGAGACCCUAGGCAGGUAACUAUUGAACCUUG
RNAcentral lists this long non-coding RNA (625 nucleotides) under Homo sapiens (human). RNAcentral's name for it is "non-protein coding lnc-BCAS1-1:2". The record is from RNAcentral. Lineage: Eukaryota; Metazoa; Chordata; Mammalia; Primates; Hominidae.